Molecule: ribosomal RNA, 543 nt
Filed under: Rattus norvegicus (Norway rat)
Lineage: Eukaryota; Metazoa; Chordata; Mammalia; Rodentia; Muridae
Description: partial 16S ribosomal RNA
Rfam family: Bacterial large subunit ribosomal RNA
Source: RNAcentral
UAUUAGAGGCAUUGCCUGCCCAGUGACUAAAGUUAAACGGCCGCGGUAUCCUGACCGUGCAAAGGUAGCAUAAUCACUUGUUCCUUAAUUAGGGACUAGAAUGAAUGGCUAAACGAGGGUUCAACUGUCUCUUACUUUCAAUCAGUGAAAUUGACCUUCCAGUGAAGAGGCUGGAAUCUCCCAAUAAGACGAGAAGACCCUAUGGAGCUUCAAUUUACUAGUUCAACUUAUAUAAAAACAACCUAAUGGGCUAAAACAAAAUAAAUAUGAACUAAAAAAUUUCGGUUGGGGUGACCUCGGAGAAUAAAAAAUCCUCCGAAUGAUUUUAACCUAGACUCACAAGUCAAAGUAAUACUAAUAUCUUAUUGACCCAAUUAUUGAUCAACGGACCAAGUUACCCUAGGGAUAACAGCGCAAUCCUAUUUAAGAGUUCAUAUCGACAAUUAGGGUUUACGACCUCGAUGUUGGAUCAGGACAUCCCAAUGGUGCAGAAGCUAUUAAUGGUUCGUUUGUUCAACGAUUAAAGUCCUACGUGAUCUGAGU